GAUGAACGCUGACAGAAUGCUUAACACAUGCAAGUCGAUGGGGAAGUGGUGCUUGCACCAUGGUAACCAUGGCGGACGGGUGAGUAACGCGUAAGGAACUUACCUGCGGGACCGGGAUAACAGCAGGAAACUGCUGACAAGACCGGAUAAGGUCAUUAAGCUGCAUAGCUUAGUGAUGAAAGGAGACGCCUGCGGAGAGCCUUGCGUCCUAUUAGCUAGUUGGAGGGGUAACGGCCCACCAAGGCGAAGAUAGGUAGCCGGCCUGAGAGGGUGGACGGCCACAAGGGGACUGAGAUACGGCCCUUACUCCCACGGGAGGCAGCAGUGGGGAAUAUUGGACAAUGGGGGCAAACCUGAUCCAGCAAUUCUGUGUGCACGAAGACGGUUUUCGGAUUGUAAAGUGCUUUCAGCAGGGAAGAAGGAAGUGACGGUACCUGCAGAAGAAGCGACGGCUAAAUACGUG
RNAcentral lists this ribosomal RNA (463 nucleotides) under uncultured bacterium. RNAcentral describes it as "partial 16S ribosomal RNA". It matches the Rfam family "Bacterial small subunit ribosomal RNA", at positions 28 to 507 of the family's 1533-position model. The record is from RNAcentral.